UAACACAUGCAAGUCGAGCGGUAGCACAGAGAGCUUGCUCUCGGGUGACGAGCGGCGGACGGGUGAGUAAUGUCUGGGAAACUGCCUGAUGGAGGGGGAUAACUACUGKAAACGGUAGCUAAUACCGCAUAAUGUCGCAAGACCAAAGUGGGGGACCUUCGGGCCUCAUGCCAUCAGAUGUGCCCAGAUGGGAUUAGCUAGUAGGUGGGGUAACGGCUCACCUAGGCGACGAUCCCUAGCUGGUCUGAGAGGAUGACCAGCCACACUGGAACUGAGACACGGUCCAGACUCCUACGGGAGGCAGCAGUGGGGAAUAUUGCACAAUGGGCGCAAGCCUGAUGCAGCCAUGCCGCGUGUGUGAAGAAGGCCUUCGGGUUGUAAAGCACUUUCAGCGGGGAGGAAGGCGUUAAGGUUAAUAACCUUGKCGAUUGACGUUACCCGCAGAAGAAGCACCGGCUAACUCCGUGCCAGCAGCCGCGGUAAUACGGAGGGUGCAAGCGUUAAUCGGAAUUACUGGGCGUAAAGCGCACGCAGGCGGUCUGUCAAGUCGGAUGUGAAAUCCCCGGGCUCAACCUGGGAACUGCAUUCGAAACUGGCAGGCUAGAGUCUUGUAGAGGGGGGUAGAAUUCCAGGUGUAGCGGUGAAAUGCGUAGAGAUCUGGAGGAAUACCGGUGGCGAAGGCGGCCCCCUGGACAAAGACUGACGCUCAGGUGCGAAAGCGUGGGGAGCAAACAGGAUUAGAUACCCUGGUAGUCCACGCCGUAAACGAUGUCGAUUUGGAGGUUGUGCCCUUGAGGCGUGGCUUCCGGAGCUAACGCGUUAAAUCGACCGCCUGGGGAGUACGGCCGCAAGGUUAAAACUCAAAUGAAUUGACGGGGGCCCGCACAAGCGGUGGAGCAUGUGGUUUAAUUCGAUGCAACGCGAAGAACCUUACCUGGUCUUGACAUCCACAGAACUUUCCAGAGAUGGAUUGGUGCCUUCGGGAACUGUGAGACAGGUGCUGCAUGGCUGUCGUCAGCUCGUGUUGUGAAAUGUUGGGUUAAGUCCCGCAACGAGCGCAACCCUUAUCCUUUGUUGCCAGCGGUUCGGCCGGGAACUCAAAGGAGACUGCCAGUGAUAAACUGGAGGAAGGUGGGGAUGACGUCAAGUCAUCAUGGCCCUUACGACCAGGGCUACACACGUGCUACAAUGGCAUAUACAAAGAGAAGCGACCUCGCGAGAGCAAGCGGACCUCAUAAAGUAUGUCGUAGUCCGGAUUGGAGUCUGCAACUCGACUCCAUGAAGUCGGAAUCGCUAGUAAUCGUAGAUCAGAAUGCUACGGUGAAUACGUUCCCGGGCCUUGUACACACCGCCCGUCACACCAUGGGAGUGGGUUGCAAAAGAAGUAGGUA
This 1391-nucleotide ribosomal RNA is filed under the name Klebsiella sp. UIWRF0401. RNAcentral describes it as "bacterial SSU rRNA". It matches the Rfam family "Bacterial small subunit ribosomal RNA". The record is from RNAcentral. Lineage: Bacteria; Pseudomonadati; Pseudomonadota; Gammaproteobacteria; Enterobacterales; Enterobacteriaceae.